RNAcentral lists this ribosomal RNA (497 nucleotides) under uncultured bacterium. Its description in RNAcentral is "partial 16S ribosomal RNA". It matches the Rfam family "Bacterial small subunit ribosomal RNA", at positions 28 to 507 of the family's 1533-position model. The record is from RNAcentral.
GAUGAACGCUGGCGGCGUGCCUAAUACAUGCAAGUCGAGCGAACAGACGAGGAGCUUGCUCCUCUGACGUUAGCGGCGGACGGGUGAGUAACACGUGGAUAACCUACCUAUAAGACUGGGAUAACUUCGGGAAACCGGAGCUAAUACCGGAUAAUAUAUUGAACCGCAUGGUUCAAUAGUGAAAGACGGUUUUGCUGUCACUUAUAGAUGGAUCCGCGCCGCAUUAGCUAGUUGGUAAGGUAACGGCUUACCAAGGCAACGAUGCGUAGCCGACCUGAGAGGGGGAUCGGCCACACUGGAACCGAGACACGGGCCAGACUCCUACGGGAGGGCGCAGUAGGGAAUCUUCCGCAAAGGGCGAAAGCCUGACGGAGCAACGCCGCGUGAGUGAUGAAGGUCUUCGGAUCGUAAAACUCUGUUAUUAGGGAAGAACAAAUGUGUAAGUAACUAUGCACGUCUUGACGGUACCUAAUCAGAAAGCCACGGCUAACUACGUG